CAGGACAGGUACAAGCACAGGCAAUGACAGUGCGAGCUUUCCCCACACCAGCCGGUCCAUGUGCCUCAACCCUGACCUGGAGGGACCACCUCUAGA
Molecule: small RNA, 96 nt
Filed under: Jaculus jaculus (lesser Egyptian jerboa)
Lineage: Eukaryota; Metazoa; Chordata; Mammalia; Rodentia; Dipodidae
Description: TUC338 (ENSJJAG00000003101.1)
Source: RNAcentral